Molecule: ribosomal RNA, 442 nt
Filed under: uncultured bacterium
Lineage: Bacteria
Description: partial 16S ribosomal RNA
Rfam family: Bacterial small subunit ribosomal RNA
Source: RNAcentral
CCUACGGGGGGCAGCAGUGGGGAAUAUUGGGCAAUGGGCGCAAGCCUGACCCAGCAACGCCGCGUGAAGGAAGAAGGCUUUCGGGUUGUAAACUUCUUUUUUCAGGGAAGAGUAGAAGACGGUACCUGACGAAUAAGCCACGGCUAACUACGUGCCAGCAGCCGCGGUAAUACGUAGGUGGUAAGCGUUGUCCGGAUUUACUGGGUGUAAAGGGCGUGUAGACGGGUUGACAAGUCAGAUGUGAAUGCCUGCGGCUUAACCGCAGAACUGCAUUUGAAACUGUUGAUCUUGAGUACUGGUGAGGCAGAUGGAAUUCCAGGUGUAGGAGUGAAAUCCGUAGAUAUCAGGAAGAACAUCGAUGGCGAAGGCAACUAUCUGGCACAUAACUGACACUGAGGAGCGAAAGCGUGGGUAGCAAACAGGAUUAGAUACCCUAGUAGUC